This 14678-nucleotide long non-coding RNA is filed under the name Lactuca sativa (garden lettuce). Its description in RNAcentral is "long non-coding RNA (LSAT_LNC003467)". The record is from RNAcentral. Lineage: Eukaryota; Viridiplantae; Streptophyta; Magnoliopsida; Asterales; Asteraceae.
AGCGCAGGUUGACAUUGUUGGGUUUUGAGCAUUCUAACACUUCCUAAGUGUACAUGCAACCCUAAAUACCUUGGAUCUAUGUUUUCUCUAUUAUACAUGCAAAUAAGAACUUCCAAGGUAUUAUCCUAAUCUAGCAUACAAAUCAAUGAAUGUAACAAGAUAGAAUACAUACCUUUUGAUGUAGCUUGAUGUCUUCAAGCUUUAAGAGCUUAGCCCCAAUAGUGUGGAAGCCUCAAGUGGAAUCACAAUCACCAAAACACUUAGAAUAGCUUGAGAGAAUUCUACAACUCAUGAAAUCGGCUAGCCCUUUUACACCACACACUAGUGGCCGAUUUUGGUCAAGAAUAAGAAGCUUAUAUAGUUAGGGUUACACCAUGUAAACCCUAAUUGACAUGGCCUUUCAUUUCCAUGAUCCAUGGGUACAAAUACACCAUGGAGCAUCCAUGGACCAUCCUAUGGGUUUUAGCCCAACUUGAUUAUCCAUGGAGCAUUAGCCCACUAUACAAGUAUGGAUGAUUUACACAAUCAACCCAUAUAUUUAAUUAGUCUUCUUUUGAUCACUUAAUUAAUCCUAGAUUAAUUCUUGAUCAAUACUAAUUAAAUAAUCUUAUUAUUCUUAUUAUUAAUAUACUAGAACUUAUAAUAUAUUAAUAACCAUAAGUGUCUUAUUUCUCUCAUUAUAGUCUAUCCAAGUGCAUGAUGGUAUGCAACCCAAAUGGACCAUGCCGGGUCGGGUCAAGUCUUACCAAUUAUAGUUAUGGACUUAGACAUUAAUCCAACAGUCUCCCACUUGGAUAAGUCUAAAACUAUUAUUGCGUAUGACUUCAGGAACCAACUGGCAAUCGUAGCUCUCAAAAGCUUCUGUCGAACUCUGACCUUGUAGAUGAACUCUGACCUUUGUCAAUGACUUGUCCAUUAGAUAAGGGAUCAUAUAUUCCUCCAUUCUAGAUAUCAUAUGGACUGAGACAUGGAUUAUAAUCAUUCUCUCUGUCCAUUUGUUGUUUCCCGAUUUCCGAUUUAUGACGACUGACUAAUUGAACAAAUCAAAUCAGUCCUGGCCCGGCCGAGCACUUCCAUUUGUCAUCAUCAAAUCAUCGAGGGGCCCACAGAUAUCGCUUUUAUCCCGAAGGUAAAAGGAAUGGAUAAACUUCGACUCAUAUGGCUUGUUCUACUACUUGUUGAAUCAUACACAAAGGCACGUUUUAUAGCACCGAGUUACCAAAUGCGUUUUCGUGCAAUCAAUGUACUAUCAACUCAUAGUAACAACUCAUAUCUCUAGGUUUGAAGAAUAUAAGAUAUUAUCGUCUCAUGAUCACUCGUGAUAAAAUCCAUGAAGUGAUUCCAAUGAGCGCGGGUUGAAUCCAAUACUCAGAACUUAUGAGCACUCAUGAGUGUUGUAGCCCUUUGUCCAACACCUUAGACCUCUACAAGCCAACCCAUGACAGUCUUAAUUCAUAUCUACUUCCAACAUAUGACCGACUGUGGAUGGUUUGAAUAACUUAGUCAUUCCGGAAGAAUAACCCAGUUUAUUCGGGAAGUCAAAACAUGCAAAAUGAAACACAAUAAUAAUUGAAUCCAAUAUGGUAUCAACCCUUUGAACAUAAAUAAAACACCUUUUAUUUAUCACCAUAUGAUUACACAUUAUUCAUUGUAUACUGUUUCAGCUAUCAACUUUAUUCUUGAAUUUAAAACAAUAGUUGUCCCAUGCUCCAAGCAUGUACACUAUGUUUUCUUAAACACUAGUCAUGCCACACACCAAGUAUGCAUACUAUGUUUGUCUAUGAUCUUUACUUUGUGAACUAGAUCAAUUGAACAUAACUUCAAUGAUUCUCUUUUCACACUCCCAAAUCCUUACUGCAAAUGCAAGAAUUCCAAAUUCAUGCCAUUUACUGAAAUCUGUUAGAUUCUAAACUUAUAUGCAUUGAUCCUCUUGUAAUGAUUAUGCACAAAGUCACAAAGACUUGGCAACAAUCAUUACAGAGUAUUCCAAAGGAGAUCAACUCCUUGGAAAUAUCCUUCUUGCAUUAAGUUUCCUUAAUCUUACACAGAUUGAAAAUUCUAACUUUGAAACAUUUCCAGAUUCCAUUUUGACUAUCACUUCUGAACAAGAGUUGCCUCCUUACAGAUUAUGUCAAUAUGGUCCUUCCAGAAUUAUCACUAUACUUCCAAUUGUCCUUGAGUAACCAAUCUUUGGUAAACCUUAGAUUGUCCUCGACAAUUGUUUAAUCCUUUUAGUCAUAUCCAGUUCUAAACCUUUUCCCUUCUUAAUGCCCCAGGCAUUUGGAAAAUUUUAGAACGGAUGAAUAUAGCACAUGUAAUCGAUCCUAUAUCCGAAGCAUAUGGGACACGAUUCAUGAUGUCUUACAUAAAGACUAAACCAGUCUUUUGCUAUAAUAUUUCCAUUUCAAUUUGCCAAGUUCUCAUAAUUCAGAUUAUGAAAAGGGAUGCCGUAAUCAUAAUCGAAUUUUAGAACGCAAAUAAUGGACCCAUAUACAGAAUUUCCUUAUGUUGAGCCAUUCCAACAUGAAAUUCAUAUAUAUCCUUGACUAAAUGAUUAAAACCUCACGAUCUAAGCUUAUAGAUUUGAGAUGAAGCAUAAUUUCCUCUCCCUUAAUUAUAGCAAAACAACUUUUUCCCAAUUGAAACUUUUGUUUUCUAUAAUUAACAUUGCUAACUUGCAAUACUUAUCAUAAUUAUCAUGCUCCCACUAACAUGAUGAUUAUUAGCAUAACACUUAUGCUCCCACUAGCUUUGACAUGUACUCAGAAAUCAGCUGGACAGUCUGAAAUUUAGAUUCAUACACCCUUUCCGUAGAUAGCUCACCUGUGUGUCUAAGCAAUUUCAAGAACCAUGAAAAGGGAUACCGUAAUCAUGGUCUCAAUUGCUUAGGCAUUUGCCAUUUCUCACAAGUCCAUGUUAGUGUGCCGGUUAACCACACGCGCUCCACUAACGACUUUUGAAAAUGCAAAUAACACAAUUGAUAUCUUCGUAAAAUCUACUUAGUGAAAGCGUUUCCUCACCAUCAUUUUCAUGAAUCGGAGAGAAACCUUAUGACACUUAGAUUUAUAUGGUGUAUGAGUUCCUACCCAUAUGAAUUUGUCAAACCAUAAUCACAAGACAAAGAUAAUGACAAAUCCAAAACCAUAUGGAUUGAACUCAAUCUUAACUUCUUGCCACCUGGCAGCUCAAGGGCCUGCCAUUGCUUCCAAGUUGUUAUGCAACAAACUGAGAACUCUAAGAACUCAUAUGCAAAGCCAACUUUAACUGGAAUGGGCACAGAUAUGUCAACACGAUAGGUUAUAAACCUCAAGUCGUGUGCUAGUGAAGAACUUUAGGUUUUAUUCUUGAUUAUUUCUUGAGACUUUCAAGACCUUUAAGACUCCCACUGUCCUCUUGACAUAUAAGACUCCCUUGUCAAACAUCCAAGAGAUAGUGCGGAUUCUAAUCAAGAAAAACACUUUACCCAAUUGGCCUAAGUUGGUCUUUGUUUUAUCCAAAACAUCACAACUUACCAAUUUCAAAUGUACAAGAGUAGAAAACUUUUACUCUUACAUUUGACAAGUGUUUUAAACCUUCUUUAAGACAUGUCACUCAAAUGACAAUCUUGGAGUAUGACUCUAAGACUUGUAUUGGAACGAAGUAUGACUCAUCUUCUUGAUUUAACCAUUUCAACAAUUCAAGUUCCUCUUCUUAGUCAUAAGAAUGCACUAAGAUUUCCUUAGAGAACUAAUUUUGAUAUGGUUUCUUAAUCAUUAAGAUGAUCACAAAACUGAUACUAAAGUACUCUCCCAUCUUUUCAGAUUUGAGAAACUUUUAUCCUUCUGCCUUAUUUGAUUCUUCUUAUCGAUCUUUAGUGGUGGACUUAAUCAGUGCACAAGAAUGUGUACUCGAUCCCUUAGUCCUUUACUUGACUCACACAUCCAUGUGAACAAGUAAUUAGUCUUAAUUUUCCAAAACUUGAAAGUUCUCAUUCAUCAUGCUAUACAACUUGCAUGAUUCCAAGUUCCGGUCCAAUUGAAACUUGGGUGAUGAGAAUCUUUCCUUAUUUGGUAAAUCUAGACAUUACCACAAAUGAAAGAAUCAAUUUCAUAUUUCCACUCUUGCUCUUAAUGGAAUCAUAUAAGCAACAAUUUUUCCUCAAAAGCCAUUGUAAGGAUAUUUUAAAAUAAAUAAAAUCAAAAAAAUUUUCUUUUAUUUUAAAACUUUGCGGAAAAACUUAUCCUUACAAUCCAUAUGAAAACUUGUUGUUAUCUAUUCCUAAGCAAUAUCUCAUAACUCCUAAGAAGUAGCUCAAGAAUCCGAUCUUCAAACUAUGCGAUAGAAAUCCAUCUACGCCAUCAGAUUCAGCAUAUUCUUUCUUUAAGUUUCUUCACUUUUCUUUGAUUCUUAAAACAUCACCAUGUGACCCAGUCACAUCAUGUAUCAAGAAUCUCAGAAUAGAAACUUAACAGAGUUAGAUAGUGGACUUUACCUGAAGUAGAGUCAAACUUAUUGACUUUAACAUCCUUAGGUAAAUUUGGCAGCUUCGCAACCAAUGCCCCUUCCUUUGGCAAUAUAAACAUAUGGACCCUUUGAUAAUGGUACACGGGACUAUCACAGACUUAGCUUUUCUCUUUACCAUUUGGUCAACCGAGUUGACUAUGGCCGAUCCCUUUCCAUUGGGAAGAGAAUGCUUUACUGGAUAUCCAAUGUCAUCAUUGUCAAUGUCCAUAAAGUUUUAGGAAGUUGAUCUUAGCAAAUAGAUAAGAUCAUUAAGGGUCUUGUCAUAGUCUGUUUCAUAGGUGUCCCAAAGGAACUCACUAUGUGACUUAGAAAGUGGUUGAACCACCAACUUUCUCAAGACUUUGACACCCAACUCUCCCGGCUUGUCAAUAUGUGACUACAUCUCCAAGAUGUGACCACACCUAGACCUUGCCUUGCUAAUAGGGCCUGAGUGACCUUAAACUUUUCAAGAACUUGUGGGUUAGGGAGAAUAAUUUGAAGAGGUGAAGAAGUAUGAUAUCCAUGGGACAUCAUCUUCAUUAGGAAACCUUGUUUCAAGAGAUUUGGGAAGAUCAUAGGUGUCUAAACCAGACAUCUUUUGGGAGAUAUUCAAGAUAGUUGAUUUAAAGUCCUUAAUAUGACACCCAAUAUGAAAUAUUAAGGCUAGGACCCAACAAACUAUUUUAUAACUUAGAAGAGGUAUGCCGUAAUCCAAGCUAUAAAAUAUUUGAAGGUAGGUGAAUGACGAUUCACCAAUUUCCACCAAGAUAAACGAAAUGUAUUAUUAGGUUUUAAUUGGUUUUGAAACUCCUAGAUCUUUGAGAUUCAUUGAACUUUUCAAAGGCAUGUUUCAAUCUCGAGUGUGCCCUUCAGGUUUUGUGACUGGGAUGCCGAGGAUCACAAAACAAGGUGUGAAGUAACCAUGCAAAUCACUUGGUACCCUUAAUAAAUUACCCCUCAAUCGAUGUGCCGGUUAACCACACACGCUCCAUCGAUACUAUGAUAAAUAUUAAGUCACCCUUUACCUACCUUGUUAAGUCCAAGUUAGUGUGCCGGUUAACCACACACGCUCCACUAACGACUUAGACAAAGUGUAAAGUGUAAUUUCAUGGAUUAGCACCUUAUUCACAUUUUUCCUAAGUAACUAAGAUUGGGUAUUAUUAAGAGUUUAGUUACUUAGUAUUAUCAUUAAUACUUUUAAUGAAGGGAGAAUUCUAGUCCUGUCAAACCCGUUCGGCUAACGACCCUCCACCAGUCAAGCAAGCGGUGGGUGAGAGUGGACACCCAUUAAGUUGCCAUUUUAUAGGCAACAACCUUAUACCCACCUUAUAGACCGGCUUCGUGAAUGAGGCGUACUAGCGGUAAGACUGACUUUACUCUUAUACAUAUAUAUAUUAUUAACUUAUAAUAUUAUAAAGUAUAAGGGUUGAAUUUUAACUUUUAAAAUUCUAAGGGCUAACUUGGAAUUAAAGUAUUCAUACUUGAAAACUUUUCAAAUUCCAAAACUUGAGGGCAAGUUUUGAAACUAUUCAAAACUAAUUAAUUCCAUAACUUAUGUGUUUAAAGUAGUUUUAAUCCAAAAACUCUUCAAGUUCCAUAACUUGAGGACAAGUUAUGGAAGACUUUAAACUAAUAAAAGAACUAACUUUUUCUUUAUUUUAUAACUUAUGGAUUUAAUUAUGGUUACAUAUUUUUCUUUAAUGAAGUGACUCUUGAACUUCCAUAACUUGAGGACAAGUUAUGGAGUCAAAAAAAAUUAUUCAAUGACACAAGACUCUUCAUUUUGUAACCAUUGCCAACUUUUAUGAGUUUUAUGAGUCUUUAAUGUGACUCUUCAUGUAACUUGAGGACAAGUUACACAAACACAUUUUAUACUCAACUCUUAGAUUAAAAUGGAUUGAAAACAACUAUUUCACUCAACAUUUCUAUUAAUCUAAGCAACUCAUAAGAACAAGAUAAUUCAAAUCAAACUUUUUCAUGUAAUUAGUCUAAACCUUAAACUAAUACAAAACAUGAAUCUAUUGACAAUUAUCUUUGAAAAUGGAUUAGCAUGAACAUUACCACAUCAAAAACAAGUUUAUAAGUUCAAAAACAACUUAGGGUAAUGUUCCUAGUCCAUUUCUAGCCAAAAAACUCGAAAAUAUGCUGUCUGGGGGUCCAACUCGUCGAGUGCAUGAACAAACUCGGCGAGUUGGAUCGAAUUCAUCACUUUUUAGGCAUGGACUCGUCGAGUCUCCUGAUGGACUCGCCGAGUCUGAUGGCCAGACAGCACCAGAUUCGUUUUUUCAGCUUCUAUUGCAGGUAUAACAAGAAAACAAGCCUAGGCUCUGAUACCACUGUUGGGUUUUGAGCAUUCUAACACUCCUAAGUGUACAUGCAACCCUAAAUACCUUGGAUCUAUGUUUUCUCUAUUAUACAUGCAAAUAAGAACUUCCAAGGUAUUAUCCUAAUCUAGCAUACAAAACAAUGACUAUAACAAGAUAGAAUACAUACCUCUUUGAUGUAGAAAGUCUUCAUGAAGCUUGAGUGCCUAGUGCCCCAAGUGUGACACCUCAAAUGGAAUCACAAUCAUCAAAACACUUGGAAUGACUUGAGAGAAUUCUACACUCUUCAAAAUCGGCUAGCCCUUUCUUCACUAUCACUAGUGGCCGAUUUUUCCUCAAUAAUAAGAUGCUUAUAUAGUUACACAAUUAGGGUAAACUCUUAAUUGUCAUGGCUUUCCAUUUCCUUGGAUCCAUGGGUACAAAUACACCAUGGAGCAUCCAUGGACCAUCCUAUGGGUUUUAGCCCAACUUGAUUAUCCAUGGAGCAUUAGCCCACUAUACAAGUAUGGAUGAUUUACACAAUCAACCCAUAUAUUUAAUUAGUCUUCUUUUGAUCACUUAAUUAAUCCUAGAUUAAUUCUUGAUCAAUACUAAUUAAAUAAUCUUAUUAUUCUUAUUAUUAAUAUACUAGAACUUAUAAUAUAUUAAUAACCAUAAGUGUCUUAUUUCUCUCAUUAUAGUCUAUCCAAGUGCAUGAUGGUAUGCAACCCAAAUGGACCAUGCCGGGUCGGGUCAAGUCUUACCAAUUAUAGUUAUGGACUUAGACAUUAAUCCAACAGUCUCCCACUUGGAUAAGUCUAAAACUAUUAUUGCGUAUGACUUCAGGAACCAACUGGCAAUCGUAGCUCUCAAAAGCUUCUGUCGAACUCUGACCUUGUAGAUGAACUCUGACCUUUGUCAAUGACUUGUCCAUUAGAUAAGGGAUCAUAUAUUCCUCCAUUCUAGAUAUCAUAUGGACUGAGACAUGGAUUAUAAUCAUUCUCUCUGUCCAUUUGUUGUUUCCCGAUUUCCGAUUUAUGACGACUGACUAAUUGAACAAAUCAAAUCAGUCCUGGCCCGGCCGAGCACUUCCAUUUGUCAUCAUCAAAUCAUCGAGGGGCCCACAGAUAUCGCUUUUAUCCCGAAGGUAAAAGGAAUGGAUAAACUUCGACUCAUAUGGCUUGUUCUACUACUUGUUGAAUCAUACACAAAGGCACGUUUUAUAGCACCGAGUUACCAAAUGCGUUUUCGUGCAAUCAAUGUACUAUCAACUCAUAGUAACAACUCAUAUCUCUAGGUUUGAAGAAUAUAAGAUAUUAUCGUCUCAUGAUCACUCGUGAUAAAAUCCAUGAAGUGAUUCCAAUGAGCGCGGGUUGAAUCCAAUACUCAGAACUUAUGAGCACUCAUGAGUGUUGUAGCCCUUUGUCCAACACCUUAGACCUCUACAAGCCAACCCAUGACAGUCUUAAUUCAUAUCUACUUCCAACAUAUGACCGACUGUGGAUGGUUUGAAUAACUUAGUCAUUCCGGAAGAAUAACCCAGUUUAUUCGGGAAGUCAAAACAUGCAAAAUGAAACACAAUAAUAAUUGAAUCCAAUAUGGUAUCAACCCUUUGAACAUAAAUAAAACACCUUUUAUUUAUCACCAUAUGAUUACACAUUAUUCAUUGUAUACUGUUUCAGCUAUCAACUUUAUUCUUGAAUUUAAAACAAUAGUUGUCCCAUGCUCCAAGCAUGUACACUAUGUUUUCUUAAACACUAGUCAUGCCACACACCAAGUAUGCAUACUAUGUUUGUCUAUGAUCUUUACUUUGUGAACUAGAUCAAUUGAACAUAACUUCAAUGAUUCUCUUUUCACACUCCCAAAUCCUUACUGCAAAUGCAAGAAUUCCAAAUUCAUGCCAUUUACUGAAAUCUGUUAGAUUCUAAACUUAUAUGCAUUGAUCCUCUUGUAAUGAUUAUGCACAAAGUCACAAAGACUUGGCAACAAUCAUUACAGAGUAUUCCAAAGGAGAUCAACUCCUUGGAAAUAUCCUUCUUGCAUUAAGUUUCCUUAAUCUUACACAGAUUGAAAAUUCUAACUUUGAAACAUUUCCAGAUUCCAUUUUGACUAUCACUUCUGAACAAGAGUUGCCUCCUUACAGAUUAUGUCAAUAUGGUCCUUCCAGAAUUAUCACUAUACUUCCAAUUGUCCUUGAGUAACCAAUCUUUGGUAAACCUUAGAUUGUCCUCGACAAUUGUUUAAUCCUUUUAGUCAUAUCCAGUUCUAAACCUUUUCCCUUCUUAAUGCCCCAGGCAUUUGGAAAAUUUUAGAACGGAUGAAUAUAGCACAUGUAAUCGAUCCUAUAUCCGAAGCAUAUGGGACACGAUUCAUGAUGUCUUACAUAAAGACUAAACCAGUCUUUUGCUAUAAUAUUUCCAUUUCAAUUUGCCAAGUUCUCAUAAUUCAGAUUAUGAAAAGGGAUGCCGUAAUCAUAAUCGAAUUUUAGAACGCAAAUAAUGGACCCAUAUACAGAAUUUCCUUAUGUUGAGCCAUUCCAACAUGAAAUUCAUAUAUAUCCUUGACUAAAUGAUUAAAACCUCACGAUCUAAGCUUAUAGAUUUGAGAUGAAGCAUAAUUUCCUCUCCCUUAAUUAUAGCAAAACAACUUUUUCCCAAUUGAAACUUUUGUUUUCUAUAAUUAACAUUGCUAACUUGCAAUACUUAUCAUAAUUAUCAUGCUCCCACUAACAUGAUGAUUAUUAGCAUAACACUUAUGCUCCCACUAGCUUUGACAUGUACUCAGAAAUCAGCUGGACAGUCUGAAAUUUAGAUUCAUACACCCUUUCCGUAGAUAGCUCACCUGUGUGUCUAAGCAAUUUCAAGAACCAUGAAAAGGGAUACCGUAAUCAUGGUCUCAAUUGCUUAGGCAUUUGCCAUUUCUCACAAGUCCAUGUUAGUGUGCCGGUUAACCACACGCGCUCCACUAACGACUUUUGAAAAUGCAAAUAACACAAUUGAUAUCUUCGUAAAAUCUACUUAGUGAAAGCGUUUCCUCACCAUCAUUUUCAUGAAUCGGAGAGAAACCUUAUGACACUUAGAUUUAUAUGGUGUAUGAGUUCCUACCCAUAUGAAUUUGUCAAACCAUAAUCACAAGACAAAGAUAAUGACAAAUCCAAAACCAUAUGGAUUGAACUCAAUCUUAACUUCUUGCCACCUGGCAGCUCAAGGGCCUGCCAUUGCUUCCAAGUUGUUAUGCAACAAACUGAGAACUCUAAGAACUCAUAUGCAAAGCCAACUUUAACUGGAAUGGGCACAGAUAUGUCAACACGAUAGGUUAUAAACCUCAAGUCGUGUGCUAGUGAAGAACUUUAGGUUUUAUUCUUGAUUAUUUCUUGAGACUUUCAAGACCUUUAAGACUCCCACUGUCCUCUUGACAUAUAAGACUCCCUUGUCAAACAUCCAAGAGAUAGUGCGGAUUCUAAUCAAGAAAAACACUUUACCCAAUUGGCCUAAGUUGGUCUUUGUUUUAUCCAAAACAUCACAACUUACCAAUUUCAAAUGUACAAGAGUAGAAAACUUUUACUCUUACAUUUGACAAGUGUUUUAAACCUUCUUUAAGACAUGUCACUCAAAUGACAAUCUUGGAGUAUGACUCUAAGACUUGUAUUGGAACGAAGUAUGACUCAUCUUCUUGAUUUAACCAUUUCAACAAUUCAAGUUCCUCUUCUUAGUCAUAAGAAUGCACUAAGAUUUCCUUAGAGAACUAAUUUUGAUAUGGUUUCUUAAUCAUUAAGAUGAUCACAAAACUGAUACUAAAGUACUCUCCCAUCUUUUCAGAUUUGAGAAACUUUUAUCCUUCUGCCUUAUUUGAUUCUUCUUAUCGAUCUUUAGUGGUGGACUUAAUCAGUGCACAAGAAUGUGUACUCGAUCCCUAAGUCCUUUACUUGACUCACACAUCCAUGUGAACAAGUAAUUAGUCUUAAUUUUCCAAAACUUGAAAGUUCUCAUUCAUCAUGCUAUACAACUUGCAUGAUUCCAAGUUCCGGUCCAAUUGAAACUUGGGUGAUGAGAAUCUUUCCUUAUUUGGUAAAUUUAGACAUUACCACAAAUGAAAGAAUCAAUUUCAUAUUUCCACUCUUGCUCUUAAUGGAAUCAUAUAAGCAACAAUUUUUCCUCAAAUGCCAUUGUAAGGAUAUUUUAAAAUAAAUAAAAUCAAAAAAAUUUUCUUUUAUUUUAAAACUUUGCGGAAAAACUUAUCCUUACAAUCCAUAUGAAAACUUGUUGUUAUCUAUUCCUAAGCAAUAUCUCAUAACUCCUAAGAAGUAGCUCAAGAAUCCGAUCUUCAAACUAUGCGAUAGAAAUCCAUCUACGCCAUCAGAUUCAGCAUAUUCUUUCUUUAAGUUUCUUCACUUUUCUUUGAUUCUUAAAACAUCACCAUGUGACCCAGUCACAUCAUGUAUCAAGAAUCUCAGAAUAGAAACUUAACAGAGUUAGAUAGUGGACUUUACCUGAAGUAGAGUCAAACUUAUUGACUUUAACAUCCUUAGGUAAAUUUGGCAGCUUCGCAACCAAUGCCCCUUCCUUUGGCAAUAUAAACAUAUGGACCCUUUGAUAAUGGUACACGGGACUAUCACAGACUUAGCUUUUCUCUUUACCAUUUGGUCAACCGAGUUGACUAUGGCCGAUCCCUUUCCAUUGGGAAGAGAAUGCUUUACUGGAUAUCCAAUGUCAUCAUUGUCAAUGUCCAUAAAGUUUUAGGAAGUUGAUCUUAGCAAAUAGAUAAGAUCAUUAAGGGUCUUGUCAUAGUCUGUUUCAUAGGUGUCCCAAAGGAACUCACUAUGUGACUUAGAAAGUGAUUGAACCACCAACUUUCUCAAGACUUUGACACCCAACUCUCCCGGCUUGUCAAUAUGUGACUACAUCUCCAAGAUGUGACCACACCUAGACCUUGCCUUGCCAAUAGGGCCUGAGUGACCUUAAACUUUUCAAGAACUUGUGGGUUAGGGAGAAUAAUUUGAAGAGGUGAAGAAGUAUGAUAUCCAUGGGACAUCAUCUUCAUUAGGAAACCUUGUUUCAAGAGAUUUGGGAAGAUCAUAGGUGUCUAAACCAGACAUCUUUUGGGAGAUAUUCAAGAUAGUUGAUUUAAAGUCCUUAAUAUGACACCCAAUAUGAAAUAUUAAGGCUAGGACCCAACAAACUAUUUUAUAACUUAGAAGAGGUAUGCCGUAAUCCAAGCUAUAAAAUAUUUGAAGGUAGGUGAAUGACGAUUCACCAAUUUCCACCAAGAUAAACGAAAUGUAUUAUUAGGUUUUAAUUGGUUUUGAAACUCCUAGAUCUUUGAGAUUCAUUGAACUUUUCAAAGGCAUGUUUCAAUCUCGAGUGUGCCCUUCAGGUUUUGUGACUGGGAUGCCGAGGAUCACAAAACAAGGUGUGAAGUAACCAUGCAAAUCACUUGGUACCCUUAAUAAAUUACCCCUCAAUCGAUGUGCCGGUUAACCACACACGCUCCAUCGAUACUAUGAUAAAUAUUAAGUCACCCUUUACCUACCUUGUUAAGUCCAAGUUAGUGUGCCGGUUAACCACACACGCUCCACUAACGACUUAGACAAAGUGUAAAGUGUAAUUUCAUGGAUUAGCACCUUAUUCACAUUUUUCCUAAGUAACUAAGAUUGGGUAUUAUUAAGAGUUUAGUUACUUAGUAUUAUCAUUAAUACUUUUAAUGAAGGGAGAAUUCUAGUCCUGUCAAACCCGUUCGGCUAACGACCCUCCACCAGUCAAGCAAGCGGUGGGUGAGAGUGGACACCCAUUAAGUUGCCAUUUUAUAGGCAACAACCUUAUACCCACCUUAUAGACCGGCUUCGUGAAUGAGGCGUACUAGCGGUAAGACUGACUUUACUCUUAUACAUAUAUAUAUUAUUAACUUAUAAUAUUAUAAAGUAUAAGGGUUGAAUUUUAACUUUUAAAAUUCUAAGGGCUAACUUGGAAUUAAAGUAUUCAUACGUGAAAACUUUUCAAAUUCCAAAACUUGAGGGCAAGUUUUGAAACUAUUCAAAACUAAUUAAUUCCAUAACUUAUGUGUUUAAAGUAGUUUUAAUCCAAAAACUCUUCAAGUUCCAUAACUUGAGGACAAGUUAUGGAAGACUUUAAACUAAUAAAAGAACUAACUUUUUCUUUAUUUUAUAACUUAUGGAUUUAAUUAUGGUUACAUAUUUUUCUUUAAUGAAGUGACUCUUGAACUUCCAUAACUUGAGGACAAGUUAUGGAGUCAAAAAAAAUUAUUCAAUGACACAAGACUCUUCAUUUUGUAACCAUUGCCAACUUUUAUGAGUUUUAUGAGUCUUUAAUGUGACUCUUCAUGUAACUUGAGGACAAGUUACACAAACACAUUUUAUACUCAACUCUUAGAUUAAAAUGGAUUGAAAACAACUAUUUCACUCAACUUUUCUAUUAAUCUAAGCAACUCAUAAGAACAAGAUAAUUCAAAUCAAACUUUUUCAUGUAAUUAGUCUAAACCUUAAACUAAUACAAAACAUGAAUCUAUUGACAAUUAUCUUUGAAAAUGGAUUAGCAUGAACAUUACCACAUCAAAAACAAGUUUAUAAGUUCAAAAACAACUUAGGGUAAUGUUCCUAGUCCAUUUCUGGCAAAAAAACUCGAAAAUAUGCUGUCUGGGGGUCCAACUCGUCGAGUGCAUGAACCAACUCGGCGAGUUGGAUCGAAUUGAUCACAUUUUAGGCAUGGACUCGCCGAGUCCUCUGAUGGACUCGCCGAGUCUGAUGAUCAGACAGCACCAAAUUCGUUUUUUCAGCUUCUAUUGCAGGUAUAACAAGAAAACAAGCCUAGGCUCUGAUACCACUGUUGGGUUUUGAGCAUUCUAACACUCCUAAGUGUACAUGCAACCCUAAAUACCUUGGAUCUAUGUUUUCUCUAUUAUACAUGCAAAUAAGAACUUCCAAGGUAUUAUCCUAAUCUAGCAUACAAAACAAUGAGUGUAACAAGAUAGAAUACAUACCUCUUUGAUGUAGAAAGUCUUCAUGAAGCUUGAGUGCCUAGCCCCAAUAGUGUGGAAGCCUCAAAUGGAAUCACAAUCACCAAAACACUUAGAAUAACUUGAGAGAAUUCUACAACUCAUGAAAUCGGCUAGCCCUUUCACUUCACACACUAGUGGCCGAUUUUGGUCAAGAAUAAGAUGCUUAUAUAGUUAGGGUUACACCAUGUAAACCCUAAUUGACAUGGCCUUUCAUUUCCAUGAUCCAUGGGUACAAAUACACCAUGGAGCAUCCAUGGACCAUCCUAUGGGUUUUAGCCCAACUUGAUUAUCCAUGGAGCAUUAGCCCACUAUACAAGUAUGGAUGAUUUACACAAUCAACCCAUAUAUUUAAUUAGUCUUCUUUUGAUCACUUAAUUAAUCCUAGAUUAAUUCUUGAUCAAUACUAAUUAAAUAAUCUUAUUAUUCUUAUUAUUAAUAUACUAGAACUUAUAAUAUAUUAAUAACCAUAAGUGUCUUAUUUCUCUCAUUAUAGUCUAUCCAAGUGCAUGAUGGUAUGCAACCCAAAUGGACCAUGCCGGGUCGGGUCAAGUCUCACCAAUUAUAGUUAUGGACUUAGACAUUAAUCCAAUAGACAUCUCCAUUGUUAUUCAUAUUAGGUCGUGUGUUUCAAAUGCAUGACCCAAAAUUUUGAUUGGUUGCAGGAUUCGGCUCAGGGUGUGUGGUAUUGUGUUGGUUUGGGUAUGGUAAGGCCAUGAGUGGUAACCAUGGUUUGUUGUAGGUGUUGUAAGACAACGAUGGGAUCGUAGCAUUCACCAGUUCGAGGUAAACUAUUAUUAGAGAUGGUCAAGUGUGAUGGGGAAUCAGUUUGCGCCUUGGGAAUGUCAGUUAGGAUUGUCGAGGAGUAUUCUCUGUUUUGGGUUG